UACUUUUUUUCAAAACAUGAUUCAUUAAUUGUAAUAAGCUAACAUUGAACUUUCCUCAAGCAUUUCAACAUUAUAUCAUUCCGAUUGCAUAAUAAACUAUUUUUUCAAAGAUUUGCUUAAAAUCUUACGUUUGCUAGUGUUUAUAUUCAAACAACACACGUGACACACAUGACUAAACCUGAUUGGUUGUUGUCAUAGUAACACGUCACGGUGCUAUUUGAAACUUGUUCAGUUCAGUUCAGUUGUUCACGAGUUGCAUGCGGUUGCUUGCAGUAAACGUAUAAACUGUUAAAUUAGAUGGCGACUCUGCAUUAAACGUAUUUAUUUAAUUAAUCGGCGAUCAUAUUUCACCAGAGGACUAAGAUAAAACAACUCGAUUUAAAAUAUGAGCAGUUUUAGUGGAUCUGACGUUGAGGGAAAAAGUAUUUCGCUUUUUGUUUGGAGAUGAACGAGACAACACGAGGAUCAACUGCUAUUGACAUUUUUGAAUCGGGGCAAAUGUGGAGUGAAGAAAAACGUUUGCAACACAUCCAUUCCAGGUGGCUAAUUUCUGUCCUUUUGAAUUAUUCUUGUAAAAACCGUUUGUUUUUAUUGUAAAGCUGUAAGGGACUUGGCCUAGUCAUCCUUGCAUAUACCAUUUGGCAGGGCACCAGACUAACUUUUUUUACUAGGAGCACAGUGGCCCCCAACUGAAAAUUUUAGGGGCGAAACCAGAAAAUUUAGGGGCACACACGGUAAAACAACAUGCUAACCAAAUAUUCACAUGUCUACUAAUUUAGACUGUAUUACUAAUAAA
Molecule: non-coding RNA, 796 nt
Organism: Paramisgurnus dabryanus
Lineage: Eukaryota; Metazoa; Chordata; Actinopteri; Cypriniformes; Cobitidae
Source: RefSeq, a predicted model, not a curated record